RNAcentral lists this ribosomal RNA (466 nucleotides) under uncultured bacterium. Its description in RNAcentral is "partial 16S ribosomal RNA". It matches the Rfam family "Bacterial small subunit ribosomal RNA", at positions 28 to 507 of the family's 1533-position model. The record is from RNAcentral.
GACGAACGCUGGCGGCGUGCUUAACACAUGCAAGUCGUGCGGUAAGGCCCUUUCGGGGGUACACGAGCGGCGAACGGGUGAGUAACACGUGCGCAACCUGCCCUUCACUUUGGGAUAACUGCCGGAAACGGUGGCUAAUACCGGAUAUGACUUCCUCACGCAUGUGGGGUGGUGGAAAGCCUUCGGGUGGUGGGGGAUGGGCUCGCGGUCUAUCAGCCUGUUGGGGGGGUGAUGGACUACCAAGGCUUCGACGGGUAGCCGGCCUGAGAGGGUGACCGGCCACACUGGGACUGAGACACGGCCCAGACUCCUACGGGAGGCAGCAGUGGGGAAUAUUGGACAAUGGGCGAAAGCCUGAUCCAGCAACGCCGCGUGAGGGAUGACGGCCUUCGGGUUGUAAACCUCUUUCGCCUGCGACGAAGCGAGAGUGACGGUAGCAGGUAAAGAAGCACCGGCCAACUACGUG